ACUUGCGCAGGCUGAAAGGAGAGAGGGGCUCAGAGGCAGGAGCUGGCUCGUCAGGCCACGUUUGCUGGCACCCUGAACAGCCAAAGGACCUCCUGGACAUCACGACCCCCUACUGCACUGCUCCCAGUCUAGGCUGGGGGCCAGCUCUCCCUGGUUCCACCCCCAAGGUGUUCGUCAGUAAAGACAGGCAAGGCUCCACAUCUGAGGGGACCUCCCAGGUCAGACACGGUGAAGCAAAUAAAAAGGCCACAAAGCACUUUAGACCGUGAGUCCACAGAUCUGGGGAGAGCUCUGUUUUGCUGCUCCCAUGCUCUCAUUUCCCCAUCUGCAAUGGGAAGCAACCGAAUCCAAAGACCUCUCAAGCCCACCCUGCCAGUAGCUGCUGAGGCCCCAGGCACAAGCCUGAUGUCAUCAACUAGGUUUUACCUUCAUGGAAGCGGUGCUGGGUGCAGGGAUGGCAGAUUAUAGACAUCUGUGCCUGCAGCAGUGAUGGAUGUGGAUCCUGCCUCACGCAGAUCUAGUCCAGAAUGUCCUCGUUGCACUGCAGUCCAACCAGAGAGAGCACAGCUAAAUGGUGCUCCCAUCUCCCCUCAAAACAAGGACAUCAAGGCAAGUGGCGUAACCAGCUCCCAUAUACCUGUGAAACAGACUCCAUAAAGUAUUAAUUCUUUGCUGGUUUUUUGCUGUACAUACUCGGCUCCAUGCUGCAGGCACUGGGGAUAACAAAGAAAGCGUGACCCCCUAAAGAUGGUACGUCUCCGUGAUCUCUCUACUUGACAUGACCAAAGCCCAGAGCGUAUCUCUUUAAUGCUCCUUCCAGGUCUAGGAGAGAGCAAGGCUUGAGUCCCUCUAAAUAUGGUGGAUAAAAGGCUGGGGGAAAUAAAGUACAAGAUAUAAAAUCAACAUCUGAGCUUGAGUCUUGGUUGUCCCCUACAUUAGUCAUGUGACCUUGAUAAUCACUUAAACUUUCUAUUUAAAUGGGUAUCAGUCACCUCAACUGCCAAACAGGGAAUCAUUUCAGGGGCGAUGUGAGCAUUCCCUGUGAUGAUACACGUGCAAGUGCUUGGAAACUGAUAAAAUGCUUCUGGAAUGACAGUUAUCUUUAUUUACCCAGGGUCAGACAUUCUGUCAGUGGAUUGAUCACCUAAGGAUCCAGGAUCAGUCACAUCAAGAAAGACUCAAAGGUCCGCACACUCCACCGCUCUUGGAAGCCAGGAGGCACCACCAUGACCAGCACUCUUCUUUUGAAAUAUUCUUCCCUCCAAGCCUCCAUGCAAUUUGUAUCAAAUGUUCUAGUAGAGUAGGCAAGAGACCUGGGUUAUUGGAUAUUUGUCAAAUUCAAUAAAAGCCAUGGAGUAGCUCUAG
Molecule: long non-coding RNA, 1365 nt
Organism: Cavia porcellus (domestic guinea pig)
Lineage: Eukaryota; Metazoa; Chordata; Mammalia; Rodentia; Caviidae
Exons: 3
Source: RefSeq, a predicted model, not a curated record